AGCCUUCUGUGUCCGUGCUGAGAUUUCGUCACACACAAGAGCUGGUGAGACUUCCAAGAUAAGUGAAGCG
This 70-nucleotide microRNA precursor is filed under the name Schistosoma curassoni. Its description in RNAcentral is "mir-3492 microRNA precursor family". It matches the Rfam family "mir-3492 microRNA precursor family". Lineage: Eukaryota; Metazoa; Platyhelminthes; Trematoda; Strigeidida; Schistosomatidae. The record is from Rfam by way of RNAcentral.